Molecule: ribosomal RNA, 484 nt
Filed under: uncultured bacterium
Lineage: Bacteria
Description: partial 16S ribosomal RNA
Rfam family: Bacterial small subunit ribosomal RNA
Source: RNAcentral
AUUGAACGCUGGCGGCAGGCCUAACACAUGCAAGUCGAGCGGAUGAAGGGAGCUUGCUCCUGGAUUCAGCGGCGGACGCGUGAGUAAUGCCUAGGAAUCUGCCUGGUAGUGGGGGAUAACGUCCGGAAACGGGCGCUAAUACCGCAUACGUCCUGAGGGAGAAAGUGGGGGAUCUUCGGACCUCACGCUAUCAGAUGAGCCUAGGUCGGAUUAGCUAGUUGGUGGGGUAAAGGCCUACCAAGGCGACGAUCCGUAACUGGUCUGAGAGGAUGAUCAGUCACACUGGAACUGAGACACGGUCCAGACUCCUACGGGAGGCAGCAGUGGGGAAUAUUGGACAAUGGGCGAAAGCCUGAUCCAGCCAUGCCGCGUGUGUGAAGAAGGUCUUCGGAUUGUAAAGCACUUUAAGUUGGGAGGAAGGGCAGUAAGUUAAUACCUUGCUGUUUUGACGUUACCAACAGAAUAAGCACCGGCUAACUUCGUG